RNAcentral lists this long non-coding RNA (231 nucleotides) under Brassica napus (rape). RNAcentral describes it as "long non-coding RNA (BNAP_LNC025197)". Lineage: Eukaryota; Viridiplantae; Streptophyta; Magnoliopsida; Brassicales; Brassicaceae. The record is from RNAcentral.
UUGAGAUUAGUGGUUAUAGACAGGGCAAAAUGGGUAUUAAGGUUGGCUUGCAUGAUGUUAAGUUUUAUUUCUAAUCCUAAUAACAUAUUAACAUAACAAAUACAUCACACUCAGAUUCGAGUUUUAGUAGGUACAAAUUUAAUUAUUUUGGACGUUCCAUCAGUUUUGACAAAUAUUUACACUUGUCUCGUCACCCGUGAUAGAUGCAUGUAAUAAUGAUCUACAAAAUAA